GACGAACGCUGGCGGCGUGCUUAACACAUGCAAGUCGAACGGAAAGGCCCUGCUUUUGUGGGGUGCUCGAGUGGCGAACGGGUGAGUAACACGUGAGUAACCUGCCCUUGACUUUGGGAUAACUUCAGGAAACUGGGACUAAUACCGGAUAGGAGCUCCUGCUGCAUGGUGGGGGUUGGAAAGUUUCGGCGGUUGGGGAUGGACUCGCGGCUUAUCAGCUUGUUGGUGGGGUAGUGGCUUACCAAGGCUUUGACGGGUAGCCAGCCUGAGAGGGUGACCGGCCACAUUGGGACUGAGAUACGGCCCAGACUCCUACGGGAGGCAGCAGUGGGGAAUAUUGCACAAUGGGCGGAAGCCUGAUGCAGCAACGCCGCGUGCGGGAUGACGGCCUUCGGGUUGUAAACCGCUUUCGCCUGUGACGAAGCGUGAGUGACGGUAAUGGGUAAAGAAGCACCGGCUAACUACGUG
This 468-nucleotide ribosomal RNA is filed under the name uncultured bacterium. RNAcentral's name for it is "partial 16S ribosomal RNA". It matches the Rfam family "Bacterial small subunit ribosomal RNA", at positions 28 to 507 of the family's 1533-position model. The record is from RNAcentral.